CAGUCACCAAAGACUCAAAUAAAGGGAGAAGCGAUAAAAGUAAUACCAACGUCCUAAUCUUCUCCUCAACUUUCUCACCAAUGCUGAGGAGAUCAGUGAGGAUUUUUUGAAAGUUGCUGAGAUGCUUCUGCACGCUCUGUCCAUCUCUCAUUCGUAGCUAGUAGAACUACUUCUAGAGGAAGAUAGUGUUGAUGAGUGACUUCGUCAU
Molecule: long non-coding RNA, 208 nt
Filed under: Elaeis guineensis (African oil palm)
Lineage: Eukaryota; Viridiplantae; Streptophyta; Magnoliopsida; Arecales; Arecaceae
Description: long non-coding RNA (EGUI_LNC008640)
Source: RNAcentral